CGUGCUUAAACAUGCAAGUCGAACGCUGAAGCCUGGUGCUUGCACCGGGUGGAUGAGUGGCGAACGGGUGAGUAACACGUGAGUAACCUGCCCCUGACUUCGGGAUAAGCCCGGGAAACUGGGUCUAAUACCGGAUACGACUGCCGGACGCAUGUCUGGUGGUGGAAAGUUUUUUCGGUUGGGGAUGGGCUCGCGGCCUAUCAGUUUGUUGGUGAGGUAAUGGCUCACCAAGACGACGACGGGUAGCCGGCCUGAGAGGGCGACCGGCCACACUGGGACUGAGACACGGCCCAGACUCCUACGGGAGGCAGCAGUGGGGAAUAUUGCACAAUGGGGGAAACCCUGAUGCAGCGACGCAGCGUGCGGGAUGACGGCCUUCGGGUUGUAAACCGCUUUCAGCAGGGAAGAAGCGCAAGUGACGGUACCUGCAGAAGAAGUACCGGCUAACUACGUGCCAGCAGCCGCGGUAAUACGUAGGGUACGAGCGUUGUCCGGAAUUAUUGGGCGUAAAGAGCUCGUAGGUGGUUGGUCACGUCUGCUGUGGAAACGCAACGCUUAACGUUGCGCGUGCAGUGGGUACGGGCUGACUAGAGUGCAGUAGGGGAGUCUGGAAUUCCUGGUGUAGCGGUGAAAUGCGCAGAUAUCAGGAGGAACACCGGUGGCGAAGGCGGGACUCUGGGCUGUAACUGACACUGAGGAGCGAAAGCAUGGGGAGCGAACAGGAUUAGAUACCCUGGUAGUCCAUGCCGUAAACGUUGGGCACUAGGUGUGGGGGGCAUUCCACGUUCUCCGCGCCGUAG
RNAcentral lists this ribosomal RNA (800 nucleotides) under Brevibacterium sp. JSM 074013. RNAcentral describes it as "bacterial SSU rRNA". It matches the Rfam family "Bacterial small subunit ribosomal RNA", at positions 43 to 851 of the family's 1533-position model. Lineage: Bacteria; Bacillati; Actinomycetota; Actinomycetes; Micrococcales; Brevibacteriaceae. The record is from RNAcentral.